UAGCCUUACGAUAACGCCGGUUCUCGUAUGAUCACCGAAGUUAAGCAACUGCGAGCCUGGUCAGUACUUAGAUGGGUGACCGUUUGGGAAUACCAGUUGCUGCAUU
RNAcentral lists this ribosomal RNA (106 nucleotides) under Acanthosepion pharaonis. The record is from RNAcentral. Lineage: Eukaryota; Metazoa; Mollusca; Cephalopoda; Sepiida; Sepiidae.